GAGAGCAUCGGAGCUGUCGGAGCCGAUGUUCUAGCUGGAAUGAAAAACGGCUGACGCUGGCACCGAGAGCCCUGUGGCUUCC
This 82-nucleotide microRNA precursor is filed under the name Columba livia (rock pigeon). Its description in RNAcentral is "microRNA cli-mir-9625 precursor". The record is from miRBase by way of RNAcentral. Lineage: Eukaryota; Metazoa; Chordata; Aves; Columbiformes; Columbidae.